CCCCUCCUCUCCGCUAAAGAUCUUACAUCGAUAGCUCUCUGGCAGGCUCCAAAAGCGAGUUAAUCUUUUCGUAACGAUUAGUUCAGGAUGGGUAAAGGUAACCCCUCAUCAGAAGACCAGGAAAGGAAUCGGUGUCCAGGCUACAGAGGCGAAGUGAUCAUCAGGUCUUGAUUUCAGCUGAGGUUAAGGCAUCAUACAGCAGCAUGAUUGCUGUUCCUCGAUUUGAACAUUUAGAAGGAUGACGUUUUUCUCUUCAGAUCGGGUGAUGUGGUGAUUCUUUCUUUUCCAAGUGGAUGUGACUUUAUCUGAUUUUCAAGCUUAAGGGCGUAUCACGUUUUCGUGUGUUGCCUUUAACAUACUGUCCGUCUUCAAUUUGAAUUUUGUAAUGCUAUCUUUUGGAUCCUCAAUAUGGAAAUCGAAAUGG
Molecule: non-coding RNA, 424 nt
Organism: Lepisosteus oculatus (spotted gar)
Lineage: Eukaryota; Metazoa; Chordata; Actinopteri; Semionotiformes; Lepisosteidae
Source: RefSeq, a predicted model, not a curated record